AGCGAUCUACCCAUGGGCAGGUUGAAGGUGCGGUAACACGCACUGGAGGACCGAACCCACGUCUGUUGAAAAAGACGGGGAUGACCUGUGGCUAGGGGUGAAAGGCCAAUCAAACUCGGAAAUAGCUGGUUCUCCGCGAAAUCUAUUUAGGUAGAGCGUCGACCGAAUACCCUCGGGGGUAGAGCACUGGAUGGGCUAGGGGGUCUCACCGACUUACCAAACCUAACCAAACUCCGAAUACCGGCGAGUACAGCACGGCAGACAGUCCAUGGGUGCUAAGGUCCGUGGACGAGAGGGAAACAGCCCAGACCUCCAGCUAAGGCCCCCAAGUGGCGGCUAAGUGGGAAAGGAUGUGGGAAGGCCAAGACAACCAGGAGGUUGGCUUAGAAGCAGCCAUCCUUGAAAGAAAGCGUAACAGCUCACUGGUCUAAUAGCCGUCCUGCGCCGAAGAUGUAACGGGGCUAAAGUCGUCCACCGAAGCUGCGGAUGCAUGUCUUUGACAUGCGUGGUAGCGGAGCGUUCCGUAAGCCUGUGAAGCCAUACCUGUGAGGGGUGGUGGAGGUAUCGGAAGUGCGAAUGAUGACAUGAGUAGCGACAAAAAGUGUGAGAGACACUUUCGCCGAAAGUCCAAGGGUUCCUGCGCAAGGCUAAUCCGCGCAGGGUAAGCCGGCCCCUAAGCCGAGGGCGAAA
Molecule: ribosomal RNA, 690 nt
Filed under: uncultured Vexilliferidae
Lineage: Eukaryota; Discosea; Flabellinia; Dactylopodida; Vexilliferidae
Description: partial Bacterial large subunit ribosomal RNA
Rfam family: Bacterial large subunit ribosomal RNA
Source: RNAcentral